This 31368-nucleotide long non-coding RNA is filed under the name Cicer arietinum (chickpea). RNAcentral's name for it is "long non-coding RNA (CARI_LNC003424)". Lineage: Eukaryota; Viridiplantae; Streptophyta; Magnoliopsida; Fabales; Fabaceae. The record is from RNAcentral.
GAGUACCUGGCGGGGAAUCCAUCACGGAUAGAAAAACCUAAAAAAAGAAUCAAAGAACCACAAAAUAGCCACACAGACAAACCAAAAAAGAGUAAAACUAAAAAAAGUAACAAUGAGAAAAGUCAGAGGCCGGGAGAAGGAGAACGAGAGAUUGUAAAGUAGAGCUUGACAAAGAAGAAGAGAGCGAGAUCGAGUGAGAAAGUGAGAGCUUUCGUUCCGAUCGUUAGUGCGUAAACAACAACGUUGUUUUAUGUUGAUUGGAGAACAGAACUGAUCAAUAUAAAUAAGAUAGAGUUAUUUGCGGGUUAAGGCGGUGGUAUUACUAAGUCUCUUUUUUUUUGUUUUUCUUUAUUCUACCACUAAAAAAAAAUUAAGUAUCAUAUUAUUAUCAUUUUCUAAUUAUGUACUAUAUUACUAUCAUUAUUUUUUAAUUAUGCAUCAUACUAUUAUUAUUUUUUAAAUUAAAAUAGCUGCAACCGACUUUUCAAAAUAUUUUUAUUUUAUUUUAAAUUAAGUAAAGGAGAAUUGGUGUGGCAGAAAUACAUUCUUUAAUUGCAUUUUUUUAAUUAUUAUAUAUAUAUAUAUAUAUAUAUAUAUAUAUAUUUGUUUUUAUUAGUAGUACUAAUAAACACAAGUAUAAAAAGUUUAGAUACAAGUAUAAGAAGUUUGAUCAAUUAACAAUGACAUUCAUGCGUAUAGAGAUUGAAUAAUUAUAAUUUGUAAAUAUGAGAUAAUCCCACACAUUAUUAUUAUUAUUUUUGUUAACAUCUUUCAUAAUAAUAAAUAUACAUUUUAUUAUUUAAUAAUUAUUAUUUUAAUUAAAUAAUUAAUUUUAGUAAUUAUUAUUUUAAUUAAUAUAUUAAUUUAAAUUUCAUUAAUUAUUAAUAUAUGUUUCAUUAAUUAUUAAUUUAAGUAAAUAUUAUUUUAAUUAAAAAAAUAAAUACAAUGUUAAUUUUUUUAUAAUAAUCAUCUAAUUAAAUUUUAUUUUUUAUAAUUAUUAAAAAAUUUAAAUAAAAUAGAGUUCAUAAAAAGAACAAAAUUUAAUUAAAUAUUAUAAUUAAAAUACAAAUACAAAAUCAGAACCAACCAACCAGUGGAGGAUUGAUCUUAAUGCACCGUACGAUGAUGGUCCUAUCUGUGUUGUGGCUGGUGUCCACAAUGAAGAAGUUGACGAUUUUAGCGAGAAUGAGGAUGACGUUCUUGUUGAAGUUGUUGUCGAUGACGAAGAUGAUCAUGAACUAGUAGUAGAAUAUCCAUAUACUACAAUUUAUUUCUCUGACCCCCUCACAUUUUUGCAACGUGGCCUCCGACAACAUGAAUUACGUUGACGAUGAAUUUGUCAAUUCUAUGUCCCAAAACCAAUCUUACCUUGUUCCAGAUCUUGCAAAUCUCCGAGUGGGGAUGAAAUUUCUCACAAAAGUUGUGGCAAUUCAGUGUGCAAAAGAAUAUCAUAUGCACAAUUCUACGUGCUUCGUCGUUGCACAUUCUAACAGUACUAGAUGGAUUGUCCAUUGUAUAAAUAAAAAUUAUAUGUGGAGGUGUAGAAUCUUGAAUAGAAAUAAAUCAAACAUCUUGAAGAUCACAAAACUAGAAGGGUCACACAUAUGCUCAUGAACAAUGGUUUCACAAGAUCACCCACAACUCUCUUUGGCUGUUAUUUGUGAAAGCAUCCUACAAAUGAUAACAUCGGAUCCCACAAUAUCAGUUUCAGUAUUGAUUGCACAUAUACGAUCACGUUACACAUAUACCACUUCUUAUAGAAAGGCAUGGAUUGCAAAUCAAAAGGCCAUUGAAAGAAUAUACAGGAAUUGGGAGGAAUCAUACAAAGGAAUUCCAAGGUGGAUCCUUGCUUUCAAACAUUAUCUUCCAAGCCUUGUUAGCGAUAUUGAAGUGCUAUCCUUUAUUGAGGAUGACCAAGGAGUUCCUAGCAAACCUAUUUUCCAUCGUCUCUUUUGGAGUUUCCAACCAUGUAUCAAUGGGUUUGAUCAUUAUAAGUCAGUUGUUUCAGUUGAUGGAAUACGGUUGUAUGAGAAGUAUCAUAGGACCUUACUAAUGGCAAUCGCUCAGGAUAGUGAUGGCCAUACCAUUCCUAUAGCACAUUUCCUUAUAAGUAGGGAUUUAGUUGAACCGAUUUUGACAAAACCCGAUACUCUAACUGAUCGAUUAUCUUUGGGGUUGUUUUGAGUUUUAAAUCCAUUUUUUUUAACUCGAGCCGAAUUGAUUCGAUCAAGAACGGGUUGAGUUGGAUUGGUGGGUUAUAACAUGUUUAUUUUACGGGAGAAACAUAAGUAACAAUUUAAUUCAUUGAAAAUAUAUUUAAUACUUGAAUGUCUCAAAAAACCAACAAUCUCUCUCACACAAAUACAUAAAUAAAUCCAAAAAUCUUCAAAUACAUAAAUAAAUUCAAUAAUCUUCAAAUACAUUACUUUCAUCCUUACAUACAACCCACCAACCAUUUUAGUUUACUAAUCAGUUGCAGAUCUUGAACUAAAACAUUGGAGUGACCAAAUUUUUUAAAUUUUAAUAGAUAAACCAAAAAUAUAAUAUUGUAUUGUAUAUAAGAAUUUUAAGUUGUAAAUUUACAAAAAUAUAUUGAAGAAGUAUAGUAAAUUAAAUUUUAGUUGACAUUUUUAAUAAAUAAAAAUUAGUUGGAAUUUAGGUUGAUUUUUUUUUAUAAGUAUAGUAAUUGUUUUUGUAAUUUUUUGUAUAUAAGUUAUUUCCUCUGAUUUUUUGAUAUAGACAUCUAGAUUAUAAUUUGAUCUACAAAAAUUGAUGUAUUUGGUUGAAGGUCGUCUUAAAGAUUUUUGAGGAUUUUUUUAAUCUAAAUGCCUACUUUUAAAAAAUGUUCACCAAAAUGUCAAAAUAUAUAUAUACCAAAAUGCCCUAUGUUGGCACGAGUAAUUAGUAACUGUAAGAGGUCGCAUUGCCGGAAUGCGACCAUGUGAAAAACUUUUUUUUUCCUCAAUAAGAGGUCGCAUCCUGAGGAUGUGACAAACUGAUACGUUUAUUUUUUUAUUUUUUUUAUUUUAACAUUUGAAAAAUUAAAAAAAUUAUUAAUUUGAUUAAUAAAAAAUAAUUAAAAUACUUAAAAAAAUUAUAUUAAUAAAAUCAAAAAAAAUAUAUUAACUUGAUAAAUAAAAUACAUAAAACUUAAUGCGGUUGACUAGAUGUGUCAAAACAAAUAAAGUCUUCAUAAUAUUUUGGGGAUAAAAUAGCAAUACAAUUUUAUUUUGUUAACAACUCUCUCUUAAUUUUUAUUUCAAUAAAUGAAAAAGUAAUAUAAAUAAUAAUAAUAAAAAUAAAUAUUGUUAAACAAAUGAUAAUAAAAUAUUUAAAAAAAAUCAAAAAUACAUUAUCUUCAUAAAACAUGUCAUCUACAUAAAUUAAAAAGAUGAAUCAUCCUUAAUGCUUUGUAAUCCUAUAGAACGUAAAAUAGUCCUUUCGAGCUUAUAACCAUUUCCAUCCCUCCUCGUCAAAGGAAAAGAUUCAACUUUUUUUUCUACUAAAAACCAUAUGAAACGGAAUUCUAACUCCCCCAACAACAACAUUACAAUUCGAUGAACCAGAUCAACAACAAAGUUAAACCUGUUCAUACAAAAUGAUAACAAUUCUCACUAGAAUUACAUACACAUAUUGAGAUACAAGUAAACAUAUUUGUUCAUUAAAGUUGUGCUUAAUGGUAUUUGUGUUAAAUGGUAUAUAUAUAUAAUUAGUAACACAUACCAAUACCAAUUUUAAAUUAAAUAAAAUGGAUAUGAUUUUAAUGCCUCUUCUAUAUUCAAAUUUGACAUGAUUUGAAAUGAAAACAUAAUCAUCCAAAUAUAUUGACUAAAAAUAACAAAUUCAGAAAGCCAAAUACACAAGCAACAAGUUCAACACUAUACUGAGCAAAACCUAGUACUCAACAAUUCAAGUACCAAAUCAGAGCUCUAAAUCCAAGUCCAACAGACCCGAUAAUAACCAAGUUACUAGUCAAAUCAAUUCAAAUUUCAACUCAAAAGUAGACUGAGUAUAUGAUAAUUGAAACUAGUAUUCUUUUUUGCAAUGCCACUGUUAUUUUCUCCUUUUUUUUUUAGGAGUUCCUAAAUCCAAUAAGUACUAAAUAUAUGUAUACAUUUCUCAUAUAUUAAUUUCCUUAACCACAAACCAAAAUCAAACUUAGAAAAAUAGCAACUCAACAACUAAUACAACAACAAUGGUUCAAAAUUAUAUUCAAAUGUCAAAAUCACAAUACAACAGUGAAAGUGAAUCUGGUUGGACUAAUUAAUUGAACCACUCUUUCAAUAAAUGAAAUUAUAAUAAUCUGAUAGUCUUUUCAUUAUUUUUCAACCACAUUUAACCAUAUUUGAAAAAUUAACAAUAUAGGUAAGUGAACUAGAAUCAAAAUUGUUAAGUAAGAAACAAGAAUUACCAAAAAAUUAUAGAAAUUUAAAGUUGAAAGAAUUGUGAAAGGAACAAACCUAUUUAGGAAAAUUACUUAGAAAAUAGUUGUCUUCGUCUUCUGUUCACCACACAAAAAAAAACAUGGGCGAAGGAAAUGAGACAAAGGAAAAAAAAAAGAUAGGAACCUAGAACACUUCUCAACAAAGAAAGAAACAACAACGACGAAACUCUCGAAAGUGACGACAACGCUCUCGAAAGUGACGACAACGCUCUCGAAAGUGACAACAACGCUUCUCGAAGGAAGGGGAAGAAUAAGAAAUGGCGAUGACAGUUGUUGGGCGGCAAAGCUACAAAUGGAAGCAAAAAAGCGAGUUCCCGCGAUAGAGAUGUAAAGCGCACAUGUUCUAUAUUCUGAUUUUUGGGUUUAGGGAAUAGUUUUUAAAUUUACCACCAAUUUGUUUAUUACAUCGGGUGUAUAACAACUGAUCUAAUAAUGUUGAGUUUGUAAUAUUAAAAUACACUAGUUGCCCUAAGUCCGAUCGAGCUAUCCCACCAUAGGUACGAGCUUAUUAGGGCUGGGCCAAAAAGCCCUAUUUAAAAUCGAUUGUGAAAUUUAGAAUCCAAGUCUUAUGUUUUUAUCGAGCUUUUUGGGUCGGUCCAUUUGGACUAGUCCAUUUUGACUGCUUAAUGGUAGUUGUAGUAAUGAUGGUGAUGGCUAAAGUAGAAUAACAUCUCACAAAAAAAGGAGGAUUGAAUUGUUUCCUUUAAAAAUUUAUAUCUAAAGCAAAUAUCUCAAGUUGUCACUUGGAUAAGAAUGUUAAUUUAAAAACAAAGAAAACGUUCUUUAUCGGAAUUAUAUAAAAAAAAUGUAAAAGUGUGAUUAAUGUACAUGGUUAAAAGAUUAAUGUAAAGAAAAUCACACAAAAAUUUAUCCUAAGUCACCCUUAACUUUGAGCUACGUCCCGUCCUCGCACCAUAUGAAAUUUUUACUAUUUAGCUGAAAACUUGAUCUAAAUACACUCUGUUAAAACAAUAUUUGUUUCUGCAACAAGAGUUAACCAACAAAACAGAAAAACAAUCGAUUGCAAAGAAAAAAAUGAAAAGGGGAGCGUUCUGCGUUUUCUGCUGAAAACGAAGAACGUUCUGGACAUAAUUGAAAAAACCAGAAAAACGAGAACGUUUUGGGGUUUUCUGUUGUAAACAAAGAAUAUUUUGAAACAGUUUUCACAAUCAAAUUGAAGAAAAUUAAAGAGGGAUAAGGAAAGAAUAACACAAAAAAUUUACGUGUUCGGUCUCAAUUGAUGAGACUUAUGUCACAGGCAAGCUAGCAAGACUAAUCCGCUAUUGUUAAUUGAACUUUACAAGAUUAAAGCGUUCUUAAGAUUGAUCUCUUAGUAUCUAUCAUUGUUUAUGAACCAUCAAUACUAGCCUUUCUCUUAAUCUUUCUUUCUGUCAUUUUAAUAAUCUUUCUCUAAUUUUCUAUGAAUCAUGAAUUGCAUAUGUCUCUCUUUGUUUCCAGCUCUUACUACUACAACAACAACAUUACAGCUGCUACAAUAUUACAACUUUAUUUAUAGUAUACACAAGCAAACUAAAAAUAACCACCUAUGAUAACUAACCUUUUCAAAUGUAGUUAUAACAACCACUAAAGCUUAACCCACUUUAGUUAGAUGAUUUGAGGCACAUAGUUACAAUUUUCCACCUUGACUCAAUAUUAGAAUAAUUCAAUCAUUGAUGUUGCUGUCAUUGCUUCAUCUUUACUCUUUGUUGAAGCCAACAAUGUCCAAACAAUGCUUGAGCUUAGCUUGUGAAAGUGAUUUGGUGAAUGCAUCAGUUGGGUUGUCCUCAGUUGCAAUCUUCUCAAGUGAAACAUGCUUUGAAUCGAUCACAUCUCUUAUGAAGUGAUACUUAAUAUCAAUAUGUUUAGACUUAUUAUGAUACACUUGAUGCUUGGAUAGGUGUAUAGCAAUUUGACUAUCACAAUAAAUUGAAACACAAUUCUGAUUUAUUCCUAGUUCACCAAUAAGUCCUCUCAUCCAUAAAGUUUCUUAAACACCUUCAGUAAGUGCAAUGAAUUCAAUUUAAGUUGUAGAAAGUGCUAUCACCGACUGUGUAAUUGCUCUCCAACUUACCGCAGUCCCAUAUAGAGUGAAAACAUAACCAACAAUUGAUUUUCUAGUGUCCAUGUUUCCACCAUAGUCCGAGUCCACAUAUCAUUUGAUUGAUUAAAUGUCAUGAUGAUUCUUUUUGAAUUUUAAACCUGCUGUCACUAAGCCAUUUAAGUACCUCAUAAUCUACUUGAGUGCUGACCAAUGCAAUCCAAUAAAUGAAAAAGUAAUAUAAAUAAUAAUAAUAAAAAUAAAAUAUUGUUAAAAAACUGAUAAUAAAAUAAUUAAAAAAAUCAAAGUACAUUUAAUAGAAAAAAAAUAUAUCAAAAUUAAUAUGAUUGAGUAAAUGUAUCAAAACAAAUAAGGUGUCACUCCUAUUUUGCAUAUACUAGCAACUUAAUUUUAUUUUGUUAACGACCUCCUCCUAUUUUUUCUCUUGAUCAAAUAAGUAAAAGAUAAUAAUAAUAAUAAUAAUAAUAAUAAUAAUAAUAAUAAUAAUAAUAAUAAUAAUAAUAAUAAUAAUAAUAAUAAUAAUAAUAAUAAUAAUAAUAAUAAUAUGAAAUAGAGAAAUUAUAUGUCCUUGUUUUGUUUGGAAAAACAUUGAUUUCUUAGACUUUGAAGUUGUUAACAUUCAUAUUUUAAGGAAUGGGUUUAAACCUAACUAUUGGUAUUGGACAUCUCAUGGAGAAAGUGAUCCAUAGAUGCAUGUAGAAAUUAAAAGAAAAAAUAUCCACAAGAGCGACAUAACAAUCAUUUUAAUAAAUUUGAGAGCAUGGUUUAUGAUGCUAUUGGACCACAGUAUCAAAUGCAUUGUGAUGAAAAAUUAAAGGAGUCUCCAAAUAUAGAUGAUCAAAAGUUUUAUGAUUUACUAAAUGCAACUCAAAAGCCCUUGUGACCGAGAUGCAACGAUCACACUGAAUUGUCUUGUGUUGUUAGAUUGUUGCCAAUAAAAUUAGAGGGAAAUAUUUCUCAACAAUCUUUUAAUCAAAUAGUGACACUUAUGAAGGAGACACAAUCUUUUAAAACUUGGUCUCACUGUGGAAAAAUUAGAUUUUUGUGUAAAUGGUUGUAUGUUAUUCUACACUGAUGAAUGUAAACAAUUAAAAAAAUGCAAGUUUUGUAAUGCACCUCGUUAUGAGAAAAAAAGAUUGGUAGGGAUAAAUUCAAAGAGGUACCUAUAUAGAUAAUGCAUUAUUUACCGUUAAUUCCCAAACUUAUGAGAUUAAAUGAUUCGAUGAGCUCAGCUCCACAUAUGAGAUGACUGGUAGAAGACUUUAAUUUGAUUGUUAAGAUUAAGAUUUUGAUUAGGUGAUUUUUCAUUAAUUUCUACAAUUUUUAUGUAUAUUAUUAAUGUACUUUUUGUUUUAUUAAUUGUUAAAUUUGAUUAUAUUAUUUUUAUUUUAGGGUGAAUUAAAUUUAUUUUCUUGUCAAUAUAUAUAUAUAUAUAUAUAUAAAUUUUUAGAUAAAACAAUGUAUCUAUUUGUGUUCAAAAACCAAUUGGAUUAGAUAAGGGUUGUCAAAAUUUUAAACAAAGCUUUAAACCUAAUUCAUACUGCAUGUAUUCUUACAACUCUUGAAUGUAGGCCGAUUUCAACCUCGACAAGACAAACGACACUCGGAGGUUGAGAAGGACAGGGACAAGCUACCGACUGCAGAUAAAAGCAAUCAAAUGUGUGAUCUAUUAUGCAGACAUAAAUUGUUACAAGAAGGGGCCAUGACAGAACAUAAACAAUAUCAAGAUAAAAGAAAAAGAGGACUAAUUUUAAAAGAUUGAUAGAUUCUAAAAUGAGAGUCAUACAACAAUUGAAUCACAUAAAUUUCUAAAUAUUGAAAUAGCAACUAAAUUUUAACGAUCAAAAUUUCAGUCGCUAACUAUUUUUUAAUUACAUGAUUUAGUUUUCUUUAUUAAUCAAAAAAAGAAAAAAUGUAAAAUUGUUUUUUCGAAAUUAUUUUUUCUAGGAAAUGUGAAAUAGUUACUAACUAAUUAAAAAAAAAGUAUGUAGUCGUACCUUUGAAAUUUGGCCCAUGCAAUCCAUGUUUGUCCUUGUCAACGUUUUUCUUUUUUCAAUUUACUCAAACAAACCCUAAAAUUUCCUUUCUUUCUUAACUAAGAAAUUCAUCAUUUCCUUCUCAACCUGGAAACUUAACCUUUCUUUCUCAACACAAUCAAUUUUUCUUACCAGCCCAAACAAUCAGUUCCUCUUUCUUUGUCAACCCACCACAAAUCUAAAACCACUCAUCUCAUGUUAAUCCCCUUUCACCAUCAUUUUAUCACGAUUCACAAUCGCGAAACCAACUAGUUCGGAUUUCAUCUGUUGCUAACCAUCCUCUUACCACCAUUCAUCACGAAACCAUUGUCCAUUCCUAAUCCCCUCUCAAACCAACCUCCGCAACUACGACGUGAAGCCAAUCGAUUCUCUUAAAUCGUUAAACUUCGACGUGAAGUCCUCAUUGUUUGUUGUCUCGUCGGCUAUUGUGAACCAUAAGGUAAGGAAUUUAUUUUCUAAUUUUUUUAUUAUGCUUCAUUUUUCGUGUUUUUUUUUCUAUGACCUUAUCAUUUUGAAUUUGCUUAACUUAAAGAAAUUCUGAAAAUGAUUCAAUUGAGAAUGUUUAUGUCUGUUGAUUUUAGGACUUGAGAUAAAUGUAGUUUGAUGAAAUUAAUUUUGUGCUAUAAAUUUGAUUAAAAUUGAUUUGAAGUGAAGUGAUUUAUGUUUAAAUGUUUUUGUCUUAAAACAGCUCUAUUUAUCACUUGAAUAAAGUGUUUUGAUUAUAGCAGAUUUAAUUUGGCUAUAGUAGAUAACAAAUGUAAAUGGAUAUCCAUGAUUAUGAGUAGUUAUUAUUUGUUACUCCUUCAAUUGAAUAAAGUAUUUUGUGUACUGACGUCAUAGGCAUCUGUUAGACACUAGUCAUAAUUUUAGCUAAAGUUAAAAGAAUUUUCAUUUGUGUGUCUGGUUUUGGAUGAUUUAAUAACAAUUAAAAAUAUAAGAUUUUUAUAAUUCAGCAUGUUCAUUUUUCCUUACCAUUUGAACAUUUGAAGCCAUAUUUUAGUCUCACUGUACAGUUUCAAUGUUUCCAAAAAUGUACUUUUUCCUCUUACUCUCCCAAAAUCUAUUUGUUAAUUAUUUUCUUUGACUUUAUAAAUAAAUACCUUAAAGAAUAGUUUCACUCUUAGUUGUAUGAGCUGUUAUCUGCUAUCUUAUAGAUGUGUUAAUUUUUUUUUCUUUGUUAAAUAAUUUGAUGUGAGCCUCUCUUGUGUUGCAAAAUUUAUUGGUGAGUAUGUUUUAUUAUAUUUAAUAUUUUAAAAGUUUGGUUUUAUUGUAGUUUGACUCAUAGGCAAUUUACUGUUUUUUUUUUUUAUCUUAAAAUUUCUGUUUUUAUGUGUUCGUUUAGUUUAAUAAUUUGUGGUGGGAUUAAAGGCAAAGUAACUUAAGUUUUGUGAAACUGAAUGAAAUGAUGAGGGUUCUGUAAUGAUCUCUAGAUUUCAUGCAAUUGAAUUGAAAAAUCAUUGGUGUCUUGGGUUGGAUUUGUUAUAUUUCUUGUGAGAAUUCACCAACGAAAUAGAAAAAGUGAAGUUAUUUGUUGUUUAUUCUAGAGAAUAUGAUGCACACAACUGUGGGGAAAAUUCGUUUAAAGGAUAGUUGGUCAAUUAUUUUUAUUUUCGUGUUUUACAUUUAAUUUACGAACCAUAGAUGAAUAAUUUCUUUUUUGAAUGACAAAUAUUAGUAAUUAGUUGUUGAAAUUGUUAAAGGAGAAAAUUUCUUCAACUUUAUGUUUCUGUAUUUUUUUUUUUUUUUACAGAAUUCCAAAAUCAUCUUAUCACUAUAAAAUAAAGAUAACAUUAGCAUAGGUGAAUAGUUGACCAUUAAUUAUUAAGGGAGGAAAAUGGUUUAUCAUUUUCUCUUGCAUACAUGAGAGUGUCUAAAAGUAGAUUCAAAUUUGGGAAAGGUGAAUCUUUUUCUUUUGCCAUAUAUCUCUCUCCUUUGAUUAGGGGUGGGCAAAGUUCAGUUCUGAACUAGAACUGUUUGAAAAUUGAACCGAACUGAAUUUCAGUUUAACAAAAUGAACCGAAUCAGUUUCCAGUUUAAAAAACCGAACCGAACCGGUUUUUUAUUUGGAACCGAACCGAACUGGUUUAACUUAGUUUUUUGUUCAUAUAGACCAAAUUUUACAUAAUUACUCCUAAAUACUUAUAAAAAACCGGUUUGGUUCGGCUCGGUUCAGUUUUUUCAAAUUAAAAAUCGGUUCGGUUCUAUUUUUUAAACUGAAAACCGGUUCGGUUCAGUUCUUUGUUUUAAAAAAUCAGUUCCAAAACAGUUCGGUUCUCAAUUUUUAUAAAUCAAUUCAGUUCAAAACCAGUUCGGUUCGGUUCAGUUCAGCAGUUUAGUUCAAUUUUUGGUUUUUUUAACACCCCUACCUUUGAUCCAUUUGCAGAAAUUUUUACAUAACUUUUCUAUGUAAAACCCCUGAUAACAACCUUUCUUGUGUUAAUGUUUUGUAUGCUUAAGUCCACUAAGUUUGAUUAAGACAUAUUUUAUUAUUUAUGCAGCAAUUAAACAAUUCUAUACAACAAACUUCUUUUAUAGAAGAUGGGGUGUUUCAAUGCCUUGAAAUACAUGAAGAAAAAGGGUGAAAAAUGCAACACACAACAUAGCAACCAUAGUGAGCAUGCAUCUACUUGCACUGCCUCAACUUGAAGCUCAAAAUCACUCAAUGUACACCAACAUUGUAACGCCCCAAAUUUUUUGAUCCAAAAAUUACUUAAAAAUAUUAGUUUUCUUUUAGAAAUAACUAUAAUUUUUUUAGAAGUAGUUCAUCAUGUAAUAAUUUGAAGAUGCGUCAGAAAAUGACUUGAUAUUUUAUUUUGUAAAAGAAUGUAAUGCAAUUUACUAAAAUAUUAUUUAUUCAUUUAUUUGCAAAAUUAAUACUCCAGUUAUUAGAUCAAUAUUCAUUUAUGCUCAAAAUAAAUAAAGUCUCUUUAAGUGAAAUUCAAAAUAAGCAAGGUUGACUGAAAUUAGUUACAUUCCAUUAUUUACCAGCAAAUGAAAGCUCACUUCCGCAUUUCUAUUAAAAGCUAAUGAUGCAAAGUAAAUAACUUUACAAUGUAUGACAAAUUUUUUAGUAAUACAAAAUAUUAUUUUUAAAGUAAAGGUCUAAUUUUCCCACGCGCGUGCACCAAUCAAACAUCAUUCAUACAACUUUUGAUAUCAUUAGUACCUAAAUAUUGGUGUAAGGGGUCAGUUCAUCCCACAACAAAAAUUAAACCAAAUAAUAAACUAACAACCAUAAAAUAUGAAUAUAAAAUCCUUUCGUCAUAAAAGAUUUAAAGAAAUUGGUUAUUUAAUAGUUUUGAAAGAUGUAUUAAAAGUCAUAAAAUGUAUCUAAAUAAAUCAAGUAGCAACCGUAGAGCAAAUAAUUAUAUCAAAAUAAAAAUAACAAUAGAAUAUAUGCAAGUUAUGCAUGCUCCUAAAUAUAUGAUCCGGAUAUAACCAGCCACACAAGCGUCCACGCAGAAGUCACCCAUACCAAUGGGGAAAAAUUAAACCAGCCACACAGGCGUCCACAAAGAUGCAUAUGAUAUGUCAUGAAAUGAUAAUGAUGCUCAAAGAUACAUACCACCCCCCAAUUAGAUAAUCACAUAAAUACAUUAUUUAAAACUCAAAUCCCCAGCCACUUAGGCAACCACAAAGAUAACAACAUUUAAACCCAAAUCACCAGCCACUUAGGCAACCACAAAGAUAACAACAUUUAAACCCAAAUCACCAGCCACUUAGGCAACCACAAAGAUAACAAAUAUUUAAAACCCAAAUCACCAACUACUUAAGCAACCACAAAGAUAACAAUAUUUAAAACAUAAACCACCAACCAUACCGCUUAGACAACCUCACAUAUAAAAUAUUAAAAACACAAAUCACUAGCCACUUAGGCAACCACAAAGAUAUCACUAUUUAAAACACAAUUAGGCAACCACAAAUAUAAAAUAUUCAGGAUAAAAUUUUAAUCGCAUAUGACAUCAAAGUUUUAUUCUCAUUGACGUUUUCAAUCAAGAGUCAAUACAUUUGUUAUCCCAAAUAUAUAACACACAAACACAUGAAUAAAUGUCUUACAGUCAUAACUUUAAUUUUAUAACCUAUAAAAUUGGAUUAACAACGUGUUAUUGAUAGAACUCAAAACUCAAAUAACGAAUAACACAUACAAAUAUAAAUUUUAUUUCUUCUACUAUAAAUUUUCUCCGAUUAAUUGUUAUUUAGUCAUACAAAUCAAGGUUUGUCGUUAAACACGUCACAAAAAUCAACUUAAUCAUCUUACGAUAAUUAAAAUUAAAACUUUUCACCAAUUCCCCCAAGACUCAUAUAGAUUUCUUAAAAAUCAAAACUUUGAAACGAAAUAGCACAAAAAUCGAAACUUUAAAUAAAAGAUAUCUUAAAAAAAAUAUUACUCAUGAGAUCAUAAUAAAAAUCAUAACUUUAUAAUUAAGUACACAUAAACGACACAAAAAUAAUAACUUUACAUCAAAUAUAUGACAUCAAACAUAUUACUCAUGUUAUAAUAAUAAAAAUCGAAAUUUUAUAAUUAAGUUUAUCAAAGCAAACAUAUUACUCACAAAAACAUAACAUUAUAGUUAAAUUCUUUAAGGCAAACAGAAAUCAAUAUUUUUCUUUUAAGACAACAAGUUUUAUAUCAAUAUCUUACAAACUAUUAAUUUAAUAUCUAGCCUAACAUUGCAUGGGGAAAAGCCCUUACCUUAGGCGCUUUCUUUCUUAACACCUCUAAAUUUGCACGAGAAAUAGCUCACGAGGCAGUAAUGAAUUCAACACCGAUAGAUAUUAGAAUUUACGACUCAGAAAAUUAUUUUGAGAGUGUAAGAAUGACAAAUAUGUGUGACAACAAGAUGCCUAAUAGAAACGUAUGAACAUAUAAGCUAUUUACGUUGCACUAUUACCAUUGAUUUCUUGUCUAAAAUUGAAGUGCACUUAAGUCCAACAUUAUACUACCAAUAAUUACUAUUUCUUUAAUUUUAUUAGGUUGUUACAAAGCCAAUUGAAAUCAUGUGUAUUUAUAUGUAUCAGUUAAUUUGGAUUAACUAAUAGAGUAAUAUAUAUAUAAUUUAUAUUAUAUUUCUAUAAAAUUUGCAGUAGAUAAAUAAAAAUAUGUUUUCCAGAAAAUAAAAACUGAAUUUUUAAACUUAGGAUAUCACGUUUCUCAAAAAUCAAAAGGAAUACUUUAAACUUAUUUUCUCUGUUAAAAUAGUGUAAUCUCAAUAAGCUUGAUUUAAGUAUUAUUACUUGAUUUAAUUUAAAAACUUACUAGUACUUCUAAGAUUUUCAUACAAAAAUACGUUUCAAAUUAAAUAAGUAAAAAUACAAUUUAAGUUCUUAUUCCCGGUAUCACCUAUCAGAGCGUGGUUCCUCCCAAACUUGAACUUCAAGAUUCAUUAACCUGUAAUAACUGCGAUUUCACAAACGCAUGGCCAAGUCAGUCAAACACAAACAACGAAGGAGGUGAGUUUCAAAAUCAUGAUGGCAGUAUAAUACAUGUAAGAAGAACACACAAACAAUCAUAAUAGAACUGCAUCAUUACACAAACAUUCCAUCAAGAAAUAUCACAUUAAAAGGUCAAAAUCACUCAAGGAAAAUCAAUAAAUUUCACUAUCACCACACACGAUACAUAUUAAUCACAACAAAACAAUCACAAUAAAAUGCAAUGAUAUGCAUGAGCUUAGACGGACAAGAAUACCACUCACACAUAACAAAAUAAAACAAACAUAUCUAACACGUCAAUUUCAUGAUUAUCGAAACUAAUCAAAUAAAAAAUGUCCAUUUAUGAAAUAAUGACAUCAUAAAUAGUCCCCAUGUAAUUGUCACGUCAAAACAAUUAAAUAAAAAUGAAGAUUAUAAUUAUUUAGGUAGAAUAGAGUGUGAUAAAAUUUAAUUUAAUUUAUUUACACAUAGAAUAAUUAUUAAUUUAAUAAUAGCAAUUACUAAAAAGAUACAUAUAUAAUAUAUAUGAAAAUUUUGGGGUGUUACAAACAUGAAAUCCAUUUACAUAUGUUAUCUGCUAUAGCCAAAUUACAACUUUAUUAUACUUUGUACUGUCACAACUAAUAACAGUACUAAUUUAUCAACAAUUUCUUGUGCAAAACUAUAUUUCAAGACAUGGUUUAUCACUUAUGGUCAAAAUCUUCCUCAAAUUCUUUCAUUAUCUUUUAGUUUAAUUUGUUAGGUACAUAACUAUAUAAGGUAAAAUAGCAUGAAAGAGAUACUUAUGUAAGAGAAGAGACACGCUUGCGUUAAUUUAAUAUUUGUUUGUUUGCUAUUCUUUUUAAUUGUUGGUAUACGACAUAUUGAGGAAUUUCGACUAUAUAAUAUAUGUGUUAGCAUUUGCUGUGUUUCUGCCUUGCUAGUUAUUAUGAAAUUUCUAGAAAAAAUAGCAAAUUAACUGAUAUAUGUCCUAUAUGUUUCAGCCAUAUAUUUUUCUAUUCUAUUAAUUUAACACAUUAAUAGUACUGACUAUUAAGGCAAUCACAUCUUACUCAAUUUGUUUACUUCUGCUGUUAAUUUCUAAUUUUCUAAAUUUUUUUAUUAUGCUUCAUUCUUUAUAGGCAUUAUGUAAUUCUGAUGCAUUCUAAAAGGGUUACAUGGAUUUGUGUCAUUUGGAAUCCAACAAUCAGACAUAUGAUAUAGAGAAAUUAGAUGUCCUUGUUUUGUUUGCAAAAACAUUGAUUUCUUAGACUUUAAAGUGGUUAAGAUUCAUAUUUUAAGGAAGGGGUUUAAACCUGACUAUUGGUAUUGGAUGUGACACCCUAAACCCAAAAAUAAUAUAUAUAUUAAUUUAUAUUAUAUUUCUAUAAAAUUUGCAGUAGAUAAAUAAAAAUAUGUUUUCCAGAAAAUAAAAACUGAAUUUUUAAACUUAGGAUAUCACGUUUCUCAAAAAUCAAAAGGAAUACUUUAAACUUAUUUUCUCUGUUAAAAUAGUGUAAUCUCAAUAAGCUUGAUUUAAGUAUUAUUACUUGAUUUAAUUUAAAAACUAACUAGUACUUCUAAGAUUUUUAUACAAAAAUUCGUUUCAAAUUAAAUAAGUAAAAUACAAUUUAAGCCCUUAUCCCCAGUAUCACCUAUCAGAGCGUGGUUCCUCCCAAACUUGAACUUUAAGAUUCAUUAAUCUAUAAUACUGCGAUUUCGCGGACGCAGGGCCAAACCAGUCAAACACAAACAACGAAAGAGGUGAGUUUCAAAAUCAUGAUGACAGUAUAAUACAAGUAAGAAGAACACGCAAACAAUCAUAAUAGAACCGUAUCAUUACACAAACAUUCCAUCAAGAAAAUAUCACAUUAAAAAGUCAAAAUCACUCAAGGAAAAUCAAUAAAUUUCACUAUAACAUCAAAUCGUCUAAGAGGAAUUAUCACCACACACGAUACAUAUUAAUCACAACAAAACAAUCACAAUAAAAUGCAAUAAUAUGCAUGAGCUUAGACUCUACUUCACAAUGUGGUACAAUUCUAACUCUGAAGUACUUGGUUAGGAGGCUUGAUACUAUGCCUCCAUCCCGGUGGACGGACAAUUCAAAUUGGCCCUGUCCUCAUAGAUCCCCUCUACUCAACCCGAGACUCAUAUACGUGACAGUCGAGGUAAACGUGUGUUGCAUGGUAGCUCUCGACAUUUGGAGUGCUACCUCCAAGUCACCUAGGAAUUCCCCACCCGAAUACCUCCAAGGUCUAACAAUCUUGCCUUAAGGCUCGACAGCAGACCGCCACGAUCAGGCUCAUUCAGUUGUACUUCCCCGGAAUCACUAGGCUUGUCAGGCCCUACCUAUAUGAUGACUAAAUAAUCUCCACUUCACAAAUUCACAAUAUUUAUUUUCUUCCCAUGUUGGUAUAUGAUACUCCAUUAAAACCGUCAUCUCAAACACAAAUUGAAAUCACCAUUAUUUCAUCAAACUAUGGAGUUAAUUCAAUAUUCUCAUCACGGUUUAGAACAUCACUAUCAUCAUCAUCACAUAAACUCAUCACAAAUCUAUAGCAUCACUAUCAUCAAUCAAACAUUAUCACAAAUUUAUAACAUCACAAUUAUUAAUCGUACAUCAUCAUCAUUACAUAAAAUUAUCACAACACAUCCAUCUUUUGUUAUCACGUCACUAAAACUCAUCUAAUCACACAUAUAUAUAAAUUUAAUUCGACACCCAAUAUCACAAUAAUAUCAAUAUCACAAAUUCAAAGAAAUUAAAUCAAUCAACACCCUACAAAUAUUUCAAUUCUAUAUUUUAAUCUCACAAUUUCCAUAUUUGCACAUUAAUUAAUUUAUCCCUCAAAGGGCUACUGCCGUACGUAGCGAGCCCCAGAUGAAUCGUUGGGAAAUACGAUUUUCCCGUUCAUCUCACAAUAUAUUAUACUCGUGAAUUCAAACGCUCUCUCACCUCUUAACUUAAUUCAGCGCUUUCACACACGAAUACGAUUCCACGAGCAAACAGCCUUUGUUCAUUGACUCUUUGUCCAUCAAUCGAUCUAACUCGACAGUUUAUGGGUAAACAUUAAAAAUAAUUUAUGAGAAGAUACUCUAAAAACUAAAUUCGAAAUUAGGUCAAGGAAAAUUACCAUAAAUCAGAAAACCAAUCUAUGAAUAAUAUAGCCACUUUUCACACGGUCGUUUUGGCGUUGGUUUCACUCAAAUCGGAAUUACGGUGAAGAAGAACGGCUCAAACUAAGUAAUUUUAUAAACGGAGAAGUCGGAUAUUUUGGAGAGGAAUUUGGAUGGUUAAAAAUCUUAGGAAAUAUGUUUAUUUGACUACCUAAAUAAAUAAAAUGACAUGUUGAAAUUUGGGCGAAAACGGAGAAACUUUUCUAGAACAAUUAUCGAUCAUCGUUGUCAAACUAUAGGUAGUUGUUGUUGUGUUUCUUUUUGGCUUUACGGCCGCCGUCCAACUCCCUUCCUUUUUGUUUGUUUGUUUUAUUUUAUUAACAAUUAGGGUCACACGUGGGUCAAACCCAUUGGUCUCCUUUUAGGUUUUACUAGUUUUAUUUUAUUUUUUUAAAACACAACUUCAUUAAUAAAAUAUUAUUAAUAUUUUAAAACUAAUAAUUGAAACUCUCACAUUCAAAAUAAUCUCUACAAUUAUACUUAUUUCUCAAAAUACUCACAUUAUAAUAAUACCAACAUAUUAGAAAAUAUUCAAAAUUAUAAAAUAAAUAGAUAUAACAUCAAUAUUUUAUAUUAAUUACUAUAUCAUAAUAAAUAUAUAAAAUCACAAUGUCAUAACAAGGAUAUAAAAAUAAGUGAAAUCAAACACAAUAUUAAUUCUAUCUCAAGAUAAUUAUUUAUUAAAAAAAUAACUAAAAAUAAAAAAUAUUUAUAAAUAAUUGAAAUAUAACUACGUGAAUACUUAACAUCAAUCCAACGCACAUAAAAGUAUUACAUUAAUUGGGUACAAGUAUAUAUACGUAAAAUCACAUAAAAUAUUUUUCUUUAAAAUAUAUGUAUUACACUAAAAUACUAUUAUUUUUAAAAAAUAUAACAAAUAAUAAAAUAUAAUAUUUAUUAUUUAUAUCGCUCAUGUAAUCUAAUAUUUAUAAAAAUAGCACAUCAUAAAAAUCACCUAUAUAACAAAAAUUUGUCAAAAAAUUUAUCAUCGUAUAUUAUAAAAUAAUUUUAAUAUUAAAUUAAUUAUUUAAAAUAGUACUAACUAAUAAAAUAGUUUAUUAUAAAAUUUGGGGUGUUACAUUGGACAUCUCAUGGACACAGUGAUCCAGAGUUGCAUGUAGAAAUUAAAAGGAAAAAAUAUCCACAAGAGCGACAUAACAAUCAUUUUAAUAAAUUUGAGAGCAUGGUUUAUGGUGUUAUUGGACCACAAUAUCAAAUGCAUUAUGAUGAAGAAUUAGAGGAGUCUUCAAUAUAAAUGAUCAAAACUUUUAUAAUUUACUAAAUGUAGCUCAAAAGCCAUUGUGGCCGGGAUGCAACAAUCACACUGAAAUGUCUUUUGCAGUUAGAUUGUUGGCAAUUGAAUCAGUGGGUAAUAUUUCUCAACAACCUUUUAAUCAAACAAUGACACUUAUGAAGGAGACACAAUCUUUUGAAACUUGGUCUCACUGUGGAAAAAAUAGAUUGUUGUGUAAAUGAUUGUAUGUUAUUCUACAUUGAUGAAUGUAAACAAUUAAAAGAAUGCAAGUUUUGUAAUGCACCUCGUUAGGAGAUAAAAAAAAUAUAGGUAGGGAUAAAUUCAAAGAAGUACUUAUGAAGAUAAUGCAUUAUUUACCGCUAAUUGCAAAACUUAAGAGACUAAGUGCUUCGAUGAACUCAACUCCACAUAUGAGAUGACAUUAUAAAAAUAGACGAGAACCAGGAGUGAUGUGUUAUCCAUCAGAUAGAGAGGCUUGGAAACACUUUGAUCAAAUUUAUCCUGACUUUGUUGUUGAACCGAGGAAUGUAAGGUUGAGAUUGUAUGCCGGUGGUUUUACACCAUUUAAUCAUACUACCUCACAUUAUUCAUAUUGGUCGAUAAUUGUCACUCCUUACAAUCUUCGUCCAGAACUAUGCAUGACAACUCCCUACAUGUUUCUCACUUUGAUUAUUCCUGGACCACAUAAUCCAAAGAGCAAGAUAGAUGUGUAUUUGCAACCUUUUAUAGAUGAGCUCAAAUUUUUAUGGAAUGAAGUAGUACUUACAUAUGAUAUUUUCAAAAAAUUGAAUUUUAUAAUAAAAUAUUCAUUAAUGUGGACUAUUAAUGAUUUUCUUGCAUAUGGUAUGUUGUUUGGUUGGAGUACAAAAAAGAAAUUAGCAUGUCCAUAUGCAUGAGUCAAUCCAAUACUUUUUUCUUGAAACAUGGUGGUAAGUGUUAUUGGUUGAUUCUCAUCAUCAAUUUUUACCUAUGGAUCACGUAUUUUGAUGAAAUAAGGAUGCAUUUUACAAGAAUCGAAUAGAAAAGUCUCAACCUCCACAACGGUUAACUGAGGAUGAUGUGUUGGAAGAAGUUUGUUAUCUCCCUAAAAUAACUGAGGUUGAUCCGUGUAUAUGUGAUGGAUUUGGAGUGAAUCAUAAUUGAAAAAAAUAAAGUAUCUUUUGGGAGUUGCCUUAUUGAAAAACCAACUUUAUAAGACAUAAUCUUGAUGUAAUGCAUAUUGAGAAGAAUGUGUUUGAUAAUAUUUUCAACACAGUGAUGGAUAUCAAAGUAUCUUUUGGGACACUAAUUCAGUCUCAAAAAUCGAUCACAAAAUCGGUCACAAAAUUUAGUCCCAAAAUCCAUCAAAAAAUUCGGUCACUAAAUCGGUCGCUAUUAGAUAUAUUGACCGAUUUUUCCAUUUAGUUACCAAAAAAUUGAUCUCUAAAAGUGUUUUCUUUCUAAUAGUGUCCACCUAAUAAUUUUUUUUCCUAUAAUUAUAUUAAAUUACAUACCUACAAUAAUAAUAAUAGUAAUGUAUUUUAUUUAUUGUACCACAAAUUUAAGAGUUUAUUUGUUAAUCACUUUCAGAGUAAAUAUUUUUAUACUGUCGAUACAUCACAACUAUUUAUGGACAUGACUUUUUAUUUAAACAAUCAAACGAAAUAUUAAAAUAAUAGAAUUCUAAAGCUCUAUAUUCUGGUUGUGACGAAGAAUGAAAAACAAUUGAAUGUUUCUUACUUUUCCAUGGAAUUAAAGAGUUGUCAAGAGAAAAACAAAAGUUUGUUGUCAUCUUCUAGAUCUGAUAUGAGUUCCACUCAAAAUCGCAAAACAACUGGAGAGUUGAAAUAGAAUAAUGGAUGUUGUUGUGAAAAAUCUUUUUCUAGUUUACCUUCAAAUAAUUUAGAAUCCUUAGUGCAGCCUAGAGAUGAGUGGCAAAAGGAGAAGAGAGGAAUUGAUGUAUAAUUUAUACAAACAAUAUAAGAUAUGUCGAAGAAUUAACAUGUAGCCUAAAGCUGUUUUUUAUUUAUUUAUUUUAUCUAAAUUCAUCUCUCUAAAUUAUUUUAUUUCCUCCUUUUAGUUAAAUAAUUAAUUUUCUACACAAAUUUACUUCUUUUUUGUGUAUUUUAUUUAUGAUUUAGUCAUUAGAGUGCGACAUUGAUUUGUUAUUUAUCAUAGUAUGUUAUAUUUUGUUUUUCAAUUUUAGUGUGGUGUCUAUAGAAUCAAAUGACUCGUUUUGUCGAUACUAUAUUUUAGGCAACAAACUUAUGGAAGCUAACACCAAAUUCAACACUAUCUCAACUUUACAAAUGACUUAUCAAUACGUAGUUGAAUUUGUCAUGUCAGAUAUCACCUAUAAUCGAUAUGAACGUACACCAACAAAUAUUUCUUUUUUCCAAAGAUGGAUAAGAAUAAAAAUCAUACAUCUCAUAUUAUUCUUAACCAUUGACUAGUAGAAGACUAUAGUUUAAUUGUUAAGAUUAAAAUUUUGAUUAAAAUAUUUUUCAUUAAUUUCUGCAAUUUUUAUGUGUAUUAUUCAUGUACUUUUUGUUUUAUUAAUCAUUAAAUUUUAUUAUAUUAUUUUUAUUCUAGUGUGAAUUAAAUUUAUUUUCUUGUCAAUCUAUCCAUUUGUGUUCAAAAACCAAUUGGAUCACAUAAGGGUUGUCAAAAUUUUAAACAAAGCUUAAAAUCAAAUUCAUGGAUGUGGAAGUUGGUUUAGAAACCAACAACCCUAAUCUUCAAGUAAAGUCAAGGGUAUAUUUUCUUUGGGUAAGGAAAUAUCCACUUCAAAAUCCAAAAGAUAUUUAAAUAUUUCAAAAUCAUCAAUAUUGAACUUUUUAUCUUGUAAUUGUUUUAAUACUUUGUAUAUCAAGUAGUCCAACAAUAACAAGAUCAUCAAGUAGACAGAUUCCAUGACAUUGUUAUGUUUAUUUUCCUUCCUGGGUUGUUAAUAUACUCUUAAUAAUUAAAAUAACUAUGUUAACAUCUUAUAUGCCUAUGUUUGGUUUUACUUUUGGAGCAUGUAAAAUUGAUUUGAACAAGAUCAUCAACGUAAGUUAAAAUAAUAAAAAAAAGGACUUAUUUUUUUUUUUUUAAAAAAAGGAGUAUUCACUACGCGAAAAAACGCAUAUUACAGCGCUUUUUUAAAGCCAUUUACAGCGCUUUUUCAAAAAAAAUAAGCGCUGUGGAAUCGAGCGCUGUAAAUGAUACAACAGCGCUUUUAAAAAAACGCUAUAAAACAUGUAAAUACAACGCGCGCUUGUUAUGCACAUUUUACAGCGCUUCUUCACAAAAAAGCGCUGUAAUAUGCACCCCAUUAUAUGAGUUAUGAGUCUGCUUUUAGAGCGCUUUUUAACACAAGCGCUGUAAAAUGCACACCCAUAAUUUCAUAUAUGGGUGCGCAUUUUACAUCGCUUUCUCAAAAAAGCGCUGUAAUAUGCCCAACCAUAAUUUCAUAUAUGGGUGGGCAUAUUACAGAGCUUUUUUGAGAAAGCGCUAUAAAAUGCCCACCCAUAAUUUCAUAUAAUGGGUCUGCAUUUUACAGCGCUUUUCUUGUACAUUUUACAGCGCUUUCUCACGAAAGCGCUGUAAAAUGUGCACCAUUAAAGCGCUUUAGAACAACAUUUUACAGCGCUUUUUAAAAAAAGCGCUGUAAAAUGUGUGUUUUUUUUUUUAAACGCUGUAAAUUAAUUAUUUGAAAUGAAAAGCGCUUUUUAUGCUUAACCAAUUUUUUGUUGUUGUAGGGCACAUUGGGUGCUAUUUGCAAUCAAUGCGGUCUCUGAAGUGAUAUACUAUUUGGAUCCCGUGCACGGCGAUUACACCAAUCACCCCGGAAUAAAGAAUAUGCUCGACACGUAAGUAAUAUUCAUUUAUUUCUUACAUAUAUAUAUUUAUAUAUAUAUAUAUAUAAAUAUAUAUAUGUAAGAAAUAAAUGAAUAUUACUUACGUGUCGAGCAUAUUCUUUAUUCCGGGGUGAUUGGUGUAAUCGCCGUGCACGGGAUCCAAAUAGUAUAUCACUUCAGAGACCGCAUUGAUUGCAAAUAGCACCCAAUGUGCCCUACAACAACAAAAAAUUGGUUAAGCAAUUUUGUUUAUAGACAACUAAUAAAUUAAAUUCUCAUCAAUUAAAAAAGAUAAAAUUACGUACCCUGAAUUAUAUGGUGCCAAGAACAAUUUAUCACUUUCUUUAUUUCUUAAAAACAUAUCUACAAUGUAGUGUUUUACAUUGUCUGGAUCGAGUUUGAACAUCGACAUCUUAUGCGGAGACAAGAAUGAGUAUUUAUUUGACAGUUUCCUCGUGCACACGACCUUCUCGUACAAAAACCUUCAAUGAAAAUUUUAAACUAGAUUAAUUACCAAUACAUUUAAUUAAUUACAAAUAAAUGCAAUUAAAAGUAUUUUUUACCUUAUGUACAAGCUGAUUACAGUAACACUCAGCUCCUUAUGUUCGAGAAGAUCGUACAUUUGCUCCUUUUCGAGGUAUUCAAUAUACUCAUCUCCAAAGAUGUCUUGAUUCAUUUGUACAAUGGGCGAAUCGUUGCUGCUGCCCAUGUUCCUUUUUAUUUGGAUGUCAAGACACGCCCCGUAUUUACCAAGGCGUGGCUGACUUUUAUUAGGAGCAGCAGCAGCAGCGACCGAUUUUCCCCGAUCCAGAUUUUUUGUUGCUGCAAGUUUUGCAGCUUUAUUACCCUCCAGCCUUUGUAGUUUGGCAGCCCUAUUAACCUCCAAUUUUUGAGGUCUGCUGCCUUUUUUUGGCUGUAGGGGUGGUUUAUUUAUUUGGACCUACAAAAAUGAGGUAAAAUGUUAGUUUAUUGAAUCUGAAAAAAUAAAAAACCUUAGGCAAUAAAUGUGACAAACCUUUUCGGGAGAUGUAACUGAUUUGUCCUUGGGAAUCUUUUUUUCGAGGGCAACAAGGUGUGUGGGCCAUGCCACGUAACUGCCAAUAGCGUCGCUUAAGAACUUCAUAUCUCCAUCGUUGUCCGGUAUGGGCAACGGUGCAGUUGGUUCGAAAGCAACCGUAGGCGAUACUUUGACAUGGCCCGCGGGGAUCGGAAUAUUGUGCAAUACUUCUCCCGAAGUAUUGUGCAAUAUUCCUUUUCCCACCUUCCGUUGAGUCGGCGAGGACAAGUAUAGGACACAUGUAGUGACACCCUACAUCAAUAGUUAAAACAUAAGUACAGUUAAUAUAUAAGUUUGUUUAAUACAUAAGUAAUUACAUAAGCAAGUAAGUAGUAAGUAAUUAAUUACCUCGGGAAUACUCUUCAAACCGACGUUGCAACUCCCGGUUUCACUCUCCAUUUGUAUUUCAGGUUGGAGCUGAACCGGAAGUUGCUUGUCUUUAUUCGUAUUCACCAAGAGUGCCACUUGCUCCGAUAAGAUUCUGAGCUUCUCUAAUACUUCCUCGUUGGAAGGUUUUUGGCGCUUCUCUUGAGGAAAAAAGCUUUUGGGAGUUACGCCAAAUCCUUUCCCCCUCACUCGACCGGAAUACUCAGGGACAUUAAACACUUUCCCAAGAAUGUCCCUGCACGUAUCCUUGUUGCCCUCUUGAGUUUCAGAACUUUGUUCAAUAGUUUCCUAAAAUACAUGUAACAUUAAAAAGAUAAGUUCAAUAGCAUUUUUAAAAUACAAUAUUAAAAAAUAUUAAAGUGAUAAUAUACUUACACAAAGUUCUACAACUUUCUUGACAUUUUCAUUAUCAACCACUCCUUCUUUGUUAACACGCGCUUCCUUCCAUAAGAUAUGACGACCCAAGGGUUGAUCGGCUUGGGUGUCUUUUCUCUAUUCGUUAAAAUCAUAAACAAAAUAAUACAAAUUAGUUACACACUAUAGUUUAUAAUACAAAUUACAAGUGAUGUUUAAUUACUUACAAUUUUUUGUUCAAGGCGUGCAUAUCCCAUACGUGAUUUCUUGUAUGGGUGUUUUGGGUUGCUUGCCCGUUCGCGAUUUGCCUUACUAAUAUUCUAUAUAAAAAAAAAAUAGCAAUUGUGUAAAAAUUUAAAAUACGCUACGAAUAUGAAUAAUAAAACACAAAUGCUAAUAAAUUAAUCACUUACGACAAACGCCGGGUCAGAACGUUUGGAAACAAAUGCACUCCAUUCAUCCUUUGAUAUAUAAUGUUGAUAUAUCUUUGGAGGUUCAGCAUUUGUGUUUCCUUCUCUAUCUUUUAGAUAGAAAUUUGAGAGAUGGGAUCUAAAUCCACGAUGGAUUUUCCCAGCAACUCUCAAAACAUAUGACUUUCGUUCCUCAUCAAGAACAAAAGUGGUCUGCAAUGAAAACAAUUAUAAGUAAUGUAUUUUACAGAAAAAAAAUUAUAAAUGACAAAAGAGUAGAUCAAAAUAUUUACUUGAAUGUCAUUCCAGAUGAUAUCUUUGGCAUCCUUCAACGCCUUAUCUCUCCAGUUGUCUAUUGUUAUUGGGACAUUUUGACGAACAACAGCCCCAAUGUAGCUUACAAACAUGGAGCUGUUGGGGUCAACUGGCUGACCACUCUCGUUCCAGCCAACCUAAUAAACUCAUAUAGUAAGUACAUGCCCUAAACCCUAAAAAAAGAUAAAAAAACACACAGCAAACAGAGUAUAUAUAGUAUACCUCAAAUUUAAUGCCACUGCUCCGUGCUUUAAUCACCCUUUGCAUGAUAGUUGCACCACGUUUGACUUCUUUUUCGUAAGUCUUAGAGGUGCCAACUUCUUCAUUUUGAACUUCUAAAUCUUUGUUUGUAUCCAUUUAACUACAACAAGUUCAACAUGCACUUUAGUAUAACAUCAACAAGCUCAACAUGGAUCAUGCAUUAUUAUAAACAAACUCAACAUGUAUCAGUAUAUCUUAAAAAAGCUCAACAUGCAUUCUAAUGAUUACAAAAAUUUAAUAACAUCAAUACCUGAAUAAUGAUGGUUCGAAGAAAGACGAAAUGCAAAGAAAAGAGGGUUUGCAGAAAGUUCACAGAAAUAUGGUUCACAGAAAUACGGUUUGAAGAAAUACGUAAUGAGGGUUACGUAUUUCAAUGAAAAUAUAUUGUGUGAAAUGGGAGAGAUGAUCUUGGAUGGAAAUAAGGUUCGAAAUGAAGGAGAUGAUCGUGGAAAUAAGGUUCGUAAAGGACGGGAUGAUAGGGUUUGCAAAAGAAGAGAAGAAAUGAAGGUUGAGAUGAAGGUUACGUAAUGAAGAGGAAACUGAAGAGGUAACUGUUAUAUAUACGUAACACUUUUACAGCGCUUUUUAUAAGCCUUUUACAGCGCUUAUUUUGUAAAGCGCUCUAAAAGGCUUCUUUAGUUAAAUUUUUAAAAGGCUCUUUUACAGCGCUUUUUUCAAAUAAGCGCUGUAAAAGACCUCCGUGUGUUAUUAUGUUAUUUGAAUGCCUUUUACAGCGCUUUUUUCAAAUAAGCGCUGUAAAAGACCUCCGUGUGUUAUUAUGUUAUUUGAAUGCCUUUUACAGCGCUUUUUUCAAAUAAGCGCUGUAAAAGACCUCCGUGUGUUAUUAUGUUAUAUGAAUGCCUUUUACAGCGCUUUCACACAUAAGCGCUCUAAAAGGCUUCUUUAGUUAAAUUUUUAAAAGGCUCUUUUACAGCGCUUUUUUCAAAUAAGCGCUGUAAAAGACCUCCGUGUGUUAUUAUGUUAUAUGAAUGCCUUUUACAGCGCUUUCACACAUAAGCGCUCUAAAAGGCUUCUUUAGUUAAAUUUUUAAAAGGCUCUUUUACAGCGCUUUUUUCAAAUAAGCGCUGUAAAAGACCUCCGUGUGUUAUUAUGUUAUUUGAAUGCCUUUUACAGCGCUUUUACACAUAAGCGCUCUAAAAUGUCUCUUUAUGUUAAUUUUAAGAGGCUCUUUUACAGCGCUUUUCCCAAAUAAGCGCUGUAAAAGACCUCCGUGUGUUAUUAUGUUAUAUGAAUGUUUUUUAAAGCCUUUUACAGCGCUUUUCCACAUAAGCGCUCUAAAAUGUCUCUUUAUGUUAAUUUUAAAAGGCUCUUUUACAGCGCUUUUUCCAAAUAAGCGCUGUAAAAGGCCUUAUUGUUUUUGUGUUUUGUUAUGUUAUGUUAUUUUUUAAACAAGCUCAACAUGCAUGCAAAACCCACAUAGUAGUAACUGGUCACCACAAAAAUCCCUUCCUCUUCACCAAACUCUUCUCCUUUUAUGCAUCUUCUUCACAAACAUCAAAGCUUACUCUUUCACAAUUCAAUCUCCACCUCAACACCCUUUUUAUCUCUUUACAUUCUCUUUCCUUCUUAAAUCGAAACUUAAUUGGUAUUCAGGAUCAUUGCCAUGUUGCGAAAAAUGGGUUUGUGUCUGGUGUUUUUGGGGAUUCCCAUGAUGCGUACAAGGUGUUUGAAGAAAUGGGUUUGUGUCUGAUGUUUUUUGGAUUCCCAUGAUGCGUACAAGGUGUUUGAAGAAAUGGGUUUGUGUCUGAUGUUUUUUGGAUUCCCAUGAUGCGUACAAGGUGUUUGAAGAAAUUAGGUGUCUGAUGAAUAUUAUUUUUAAAGCUUUUUUACAGCGCUUUGUCAAAUAAGCGCUGUAAAAUGUCUUUUUUACUCACUUUCAAAAGAGUCGUUUACAGCGCUUUGUGUGAAAAGCGCUGUAAAAGGUAUAAAACACUCAUUAUUUUAUUUUUAAAAGGAUCUUUUACAGCGCUUUUUAAGAUAAGCGCUGUAAAAUGUCUCUUUAUUUUAUUUUUGUGUUUGGUUUAUUUGGGUUGGGAUGACAUUAAAAACAUUUUUAUCAUUGUUUAUUGGAUUAAAAAUAUUGUUAUCAUUGUCUUUAUCACAAUACUUUAGGAGAUGAUGAAUUAUUAGAAAUGAGUAUUCUGAAGAAUCUAUAUAUAUAUAUGCACUGAGCAAAAGAGAAUCUCUCUAUUCAGUUCAGUUCAGUUCAUGUAAAUUACUAAUUUAUAUUCAGUUCAGUUCAUGUAAAUCAAGCUAAAUAUAAAACACUCAUUGUUACAUGAACUUGGUAUAAAACACUCAAAUCAAGCUAAAUAUAAGCAGAAAAUAAAUUAAUCAGAAAAUAAAUUAAUCAGAACUUAGUAUAAAACACUCAAUUCAGAUUACAUGCAUAUUUACAAUAACACAGUUCAGAUUACAUGCAUAGCUUAUAUAAAACAAUUAAACAUAUAUAUACAUUAAGAUGCCCUUCUUCUUUUCCUGGUGACAUUCACAUUUGUUUGUCCAUUUACAAUACGAAACGAUGGAUUAAUCCAAAUUCCCUCAUCAUGAUCAUCUCUAAGAUAUAAACCAUCAUCAGUUGAAUCAAUUUCAUGUGGUUGUUGUGAUGUUGCAAAUAAAAGAUCAUUACCAACAUCUUCAUCAUUAUUGUUAUCAUCACUUAUUUUAUUGGUCGAUAGGACAACAGACCAUUUAUCAUUAGAAGGAUCAGUGACAUAAAACACUUGUUGAGCUUGCGACGCUAAAAUAAAAGGCUCGUCUUUGUAUCCCACCCUAUUAAAAUCGACAAGCAAGAAUCCUGACUCAUCAAUCCGAACGCCAUUAUUAUUAUCGACCCACUUGCAACCAAAUAUGGGAACACGAAACAUUGUGUAGUCUAACUCCCAUAUGCGCUCGAUAACCCCAAAAUAUGAUAGAUUUGCAUAUAUUGGGUUUUUGUCUUUUGCACUUGAGACAUGCAUCGCUUCAGCUACGAGAGUGACUCCACUAUUUUGCAUAGUGGUCUGAUCAUCUUGUUCUUUGGUAUAAAAUGUGUAGCCGUUAAUAACAUAACCAGUGUAAGAAAAGACAUGUAAGCUCGGACCAUUUGCUAGCCACCUCAAUCUAUUUGAAAUUGAUCCGGGGUCUAUAUCAAAUUUUGACAUUAUGUGAUUUUUUAACCAUGUUACAAAACUUCGAUUGUGCUCUCGAGUUAUCCAAUUUUGAUUCCUAUUCAUGUUCAAACGAGAUAACUGAUCAAUGUGUAUUGUAACAUACGGUUGAACCUCAUCAUCAUUGUGCAGAACAUACAAUUGUGCCUGCUCCCAUUCUGUCCUUGAUAUAGUCAGUAGUCUCCUUCCAGUUAUCCCUUCUCCUGAUAGUCUUCCCGAAUGACGAGACAUGGGAAGCCCUAUGGAUUCAACAUUGGACAGAUAUUCAGUACAAAAUUCAGCAGCCUCUUCAACAAUGUAUCGUUCAGCAAUACAACCUUCUGGUCGACUUCUACUUUUUACGUACCCUUUUAAUAUUUUCAUAUAUCGUUCUAUCGGAUACAUCCAUCUCAUAUAAGCUGGCCCACAAAGUUGUGUCUCCUUAACCAGAUGAACAGUAAGGUGAACCAUUAUAUCAAAAAACGAUGGUGGGAAAUACAUUUCAAGCUCACACAAAGUAACAACAAUUUCCCUCUGCAAUGUCGGUAAUUUCUGAGGGUCGAUCACUUUACUACAAAUUUCCCUGAAGAAGAAACAUAAUCUAGUUAAGGCUAGUCGAACUUUUUCAGGUAAAAUGGAACGUAUACCUAUUGGUAGCAAAUGCUCCAUUAUAAUAUGACAAUCAUGGGUCUUCAAACCUUUUAACUUGAGGUCUUUCAUACAAACCAAAUUUUUAAUGUUCGAAGAGUAUCCUUCUGGAACUUUAACUUCGUGUAGAAAUUUACAUAAAACAAUUUUUUCCUUUCUAGAUAGAGUAUGAGCGGCUGGAGGUAGAUAUGUGCGAUUUCCUUUCUUUACUGGAGCCAGUUCAUUUCUUAUUCCCAUAUCGACCAAGUCCAAUCUUGCAUUGACGCCAUCUUUAGACUUUCCUGGAACAUUGAGUAACGUACCAAUAACACUUUCAAAUACAUUUUUUUCAAUAUGCAUCACAUCGAGGAAAUGUCUUACAUACAAUGACUUCCAAUAUGGCAAUUCAAAGAAAAUUGACUUUUUCUUCCACCCAGUUUUCACCAGCUCUCCCGCAAAAGGUUUGCCAAAUUUAUUGGUCAAACCUUGUACUUUUUCAAGUAUUUGAUAUCCAGUCGGUGCUAAAGGAGCUUUACCUUCCUCUGAUUUUCCAUUGAAUGCAUUUCUCCACCCACGAUACUGAUGACUAUAAGGUAAAAAUCUACGAUGUCCAAGAAACACAUUCUUCUUACAAUGUUUCAACCGCAUCCAAUUUGUACUCUCUUCACAUAUAGGACAUGCACACUGACCUUUAAUGCUAUAUCCUGAUAAAUUACCAUAUGCUGGAAAAUCAUUAAUUGUGCCGAACAACAUAGCCCUCAAAUUGAAACACUUUUUCCUAUACCCAUCAUAAACUUCCACACUUGUCUCCCACAUACUUUUUAAAUCUUCGAUUAGAGGAGUCAAGUAUACGUCGAUAUCAUUCCCCGGUUGUUUGGGUCCAGAAAUUAACAGAGACAACAUCAUAAACUUACGCUUCAUACAUAACCAUGGAGGUAGGUUAUAUAUUACCAAAAUCACAGGCCACGUGCUAUGUGAGAUGCUUUGAAGACCAUGUGGAUUCAUUCCAUCAGUAGAAAGUGCAAGUCUUAGAUUUCUUGACUCUAUCCCGAAUUCAGGAUACUCGUGAUCAAUUUUUGCCCAUUGUGGGGAAUCUGCAGGGUGUCGAAACAUUCCAUCUCUAAUUCUUUCAUCUGCAUGCCAUGUCAAGUGUUUUGAAUCUUCUUCACUGCGAUACAUGCGCCUAAAUCUUGGUAUUAUAGGAAAAUACCACACGACUUUUGCUGGAGUAGAUUCUUUCUUCUUAUAUCGAGAGACAUUGCAUUUCGGACACGCCUUAAGUAGUUCAUAUUCGUUUCGAAAUAAAAUGCAAUCGUUAGGACACGCAUGAAUCCUUUCGUAACUCAUUCCAAUAGAACACAAAAUCCGUUUAGCCUCGUAGGUUCGACUGGGAAGUUCAUUAUCAUAUGGCAACAUAUCUUUUAUGAGUGUUAAUAAUUCUGUAAAGCUUUUAUCAGACCAUCCAUUACUCGCUUUUAAGUUGUACAACUUUAAUAUCGCUGACAGUCUUGUGAAUUUAGUACAACCAUUAUAUAAUUCUUUCUCUGCAUCACUCAACAAACUUUCAAACAUUUUAGGACAAUCUCGAAGAUCUUCUUCAACUGCUUUUGCAAUCUCAUCAACUCGGUCCGGCUCAUAUGUAUCUGUAUCGAAAUCAGUUGAAGCAUAUGUAGAACUAUUCUCAAAAUUAAUGUUUCCUUUUUUUUUCUCACCAUGUCUUAUCCAACAUGUGUAGCUUUGAUCAAUUCCAUUACAUACUAGAUGUCCUUCUAAUUCAUCUUCUCUAACACGUUUUCCAAAACAACAUUUUAAACAAGGACAAACUACUCUAUUUGCAUGUGUGCUUACAUCUCUUGAAUGUAGGCCGAUUUCAACAUCGAGCAGACAAAUGACACUUGGAGGUUGAGAAGGACAGGGACAUGCGACCGACAGCAGAUACGAGCAAUAAAAUGUGUGAUCCAUUAUAUUUUGGCAUAAAAACGUAUAUAAAUCUAUACACUUAGAUUCUUACCAAAUAUAAAUUGAAAGGAAUAAAGGAACAGAGAAUCAUACCAAGUUACCAACCAACACAAGAAUCAUACUCACGCAAGCAAUGAAUGACUAUCGCAGUGACAUCAAAAUGCGCAUUUUUCUUUCUCUCUCAGCAUUCAAUGCUUCUUGGCUGUACUCACGCCUUAGAAUAAUUUCCUGAACCAUUUCGGUAAUAUCAUCUAAAGAGUGCUGAAUAAACCUUGCCAUAGACUGUUGGGGUUUCUUUUUCGGUGCCGACGGAAGUGACGGAGUGGCCACCGUAUGAGAGAGUGAUGAAAUCGGAGUACCUGGCGGGGAAUCCAUCACGGAUAGAAAAACCUAAAAAAAAAAUCAAAGAACCACAAAAUAGCCACACAGACAAACCAAAAAAGAGUAAAACUAAAAAAAGUAACAAUGAGAAAAGUGAGAGGGAGAGGGAGAACGAGAGAUUGUAAAGUAGAGAGAGCUUUCGUUCCGAUCGUUAGUGCGUAAACAACAACGUUGUUCUUGUGUUGAUUGAGAACAGAACUGAUCCAUAUAAAUAAGAUAGAGUUAUUUGCGGGUUAAAGGCGGUGGCAUUACAAUCGUCUCUUUCUUUUU